GAGGUACCCGGGGGCAGUGAGAAUGACGUGUGCUGGUGCAGAGAGGGGGUGGGGGGGCUGCGGGCCGGGCUCUGUGGACCCGCUCCUAAUCCUCUUGUUUUCGGAACAGUCAGCAGAUGUGGCUUCUUUUAGCCUGAAUAAUCCGUUAAAGGAAUAAUUUUUAGAAGGGAGAUCGACCUUACCCAAAGAGGACAGUGAGCGAGAUUAGGGCUCGUAGAUCUACUAACUUUGGUUGGGAUGGCUGAAACGCUCCGGACUGCGAGCAGUCUCUUAAAAAGGAGAACAAAAAGAUGAAGACCCUGAGUGGACGCCGGAACAAAGCACCUUGGGUUCGGUGAACAGGGACGCUCAGGAGCUCUGGCUCCGGAACACGGAUGAUCGAAGCCCAAGUGCGCCCGCCCGGCGUGUGGACCUCGGAGGCGUGAGGACUGCAGCAGGCGAGUUCCGGAAGGCUGAUUCCCCAGAUCCUGGCCCUGGAUCGCGGCAGCUCGCGGCUGCGGUACGCUGGGCCAGGCUGUGCCUGGACCCGGCGAUCGAGGAAAAAGCCUGGAUACGGAAGGAUGGGGAGAACAAAGAGCUUUGGAAGACGUCGCUGUUAUCUCAUUGUCUGUGAUGGGGGAGCUGCGGUGGAGAAAAUGGAGGAUGGGCAGGUCCCUGCAGUAGAGGGAGGAGCUGAGAAAGGAGGCCAAGAGCUGGAUCUUCCUACCAGGAAGCCUGCUGCAUCCUCCCCACCCCACCUGCUGUGGCAGAGGACUAUCUCUGCAAGGCCAAGGCCAUAAGGGCUGCUUAGGAGUUUCAUUUGAUUCCUGACACAGAAAUCAAGGCCUACAGAGAGUCUCUGGAAACUUACAGACCUCUUUUCUCCAAAGCCUCAGCCUCACCCUCUCUUAGUAUCCAGUGACACUAUGGAUCAGUGCCCCUCCCUACCUCGUUCGCUCACCAAAAUAUUGAGUACCUCCUACAUGUCAGUCGUGGCAUUAGUACAUCUUAGGUUCUUUCUUUGCCCUCCCUAAAGGCGUGUUUAAGAGUUGGAUAGGCCAAGGGUAGGGUUAGAUAGGCCAAGGUUAUCCCAUCUAGACACUCCCAGAACCUUCUCUGGGUCUGCUGAAAUGUGUCACAACCUGCUCAGGCCUGCAGGUAGGAAGCGGCAGCACACGACAUGUAGGCUGCAGGUGCCCGAGUCCCAGAAGGCAAGCUUGGCAGUAGGUCAGAAAGAGCAGCUUCUCUCGCCCUAGGGGUGUCCUAAGAGGCACUGGUAGCCAUUGCCUUCAGAAAAUACCUCCCUGGAAACGAAUACCCUCCUGAGUCCUGAUGUAGCCGGGGCCCUUUCGGAACUGGUUCAUGAAGAGAAGUGUUUUGUGCCUCGCUGAGGUGUAAACAGCCUUACCUCUCCCCGUUCUGCUGAGAAGGCUGCGCUCCGGUGCUCUGAGGCAUGGGUUCAGCCUCUGAUGUCCACAGCUUUGCCUCACAAAUGUCCACAAUAGUGAGCCUCUUCUUGGUCAUUGCAUCUCUGUAAUUCCUUUAGACGUUGCUAUACCCUUCACUGAUGCGCCCUCCGGUGAAAUAUCCAAGUGCCUCCCAAUGCCUUUUCUAGGUGGAAACCUAACAGCUUCUCGCUUCUCCCUGAGAGCUUUUAACCGCAAGCUUGAUGGCCAAGGCCUGCCAGGUGUCUGUUGCAGAUCAUCUGUGAUGGGAGGGGAGUAUUUUUUGCUUUAUUACUUAUGUAAACUCUUGUUCCAGAAAGCUUUAGUGUGUGUGAGAGUGUUCUGGAACUGCUGGACCUGGAUCAGUGUGGAUAUUUGCCCAUGCACCAGGUCUUACUACAAAAUGUGUUUUUCUUUUGGGCUUUAAUGGCCGAACAUGGCGAAGAGGAAUGGACCACUUUGCCCCUUGUGUAAAUUGCAAGGUCUCCCUUGUGCAGUGGAUGAUGCUUCAGAUCAGCCCUGAUCUGACUUCUCCCCUUCCUGUGUUUGAGGCCUAUUUGUGCCCAUAGAUAAUUAUGCAAGAAACCUAGAGAUUGCUGCUUUUCCAAGGCAUUUCUUUAACUCUCAACAUCAUCUCCCCUACCUGUGAUUUAAGCCUAACAACAGCCUACAGCUUAACUAAAGGAGAAAACGUAUUGUUAAAAACAUACAGGGCCCAGCUGAGUGAAUACGCUAUGAAGGUCCCCAUGGGUUCCUCUACACCACCCGUCAUCAGUUCUUGUCUUCCUGUGAGCUUAGAUCCUCUUAAGGUAACUGCCUGGUACUUUAAGAUCAAUUUAGGAAUGUACCAGAAAAAUUGGUAAUAUUCUUUCCCCUGCCAGAGACAGCCCUGAUCCUCUGUUUCAGCAGAUGAGAAAUGGACCUUUUAACAAAAGUAAAGGACUCUAAAUUACUUCUAUUACCAGAGGGAGGAGUAAGCUUUUGUGAAUACCUGAGCACCUUUAGCCAGAGGACCAUCUGGGGAAGGGGGUCCAUCCCAAUUGGCAUAUAUCCAUAUAUACAUUUUCUCAUAUGAUCAAUCAUUUCCAUUGCCUAUACGUAUAGGAAGUCUUUUAAUCUCACCCCCCCCAAAAAAAAGUCCAUCCAUCUCUGUUUCCACAGGGAAAUUAAAAAAAAAAAAAAAACUUACAUAAUACCACCUCCCCUCCUAAAAUGGAGCCCUCUGAAGCAGCUGUAAAGCAUUCUCCCUAGCACUGAGGGAGCCUCCCCUUCCUCAGCUACUCUGUGGGUGGUUUUAGAGCCCAAUGAGUCAACUUGGGCUGACUGAGGAGUUGUGCUGGUGGCGUGCCUGUGUGUUGGGGGCUUGGCUGGCUGAUUCACAGUGAUGCAUCCGUCAAUAAGUGAUGAGAAUUAUGGUACUUAAUAAAGAUUUUUUUCUUUCACGUCCCAUCUACAAUUCUUUCGCUGGGUAUUUUACU
Molecule: long non-coding RNA, 2902 nt
Organism: Tupaia belangeri chinensis (Chinese tree shrew)
Lineage: Eukaryota; Metazoa; Chordata; Mammalia; Scandentia; Tupaiidae
Exons: 5
Source: RefSeq, a predicted model, not a curated record